Artibeus jamaicensis (Jamaican fruit-eating bat) is the source of this 2111-nucleotide long non-coding RNA. RefSeq lists it as uncharacterized. NCBI's taxonomy places the organism in Eukaryota, Metazoa, Chordata, Mammalia, Chiroptera, Phyllostomidae. The record is from RefSeq and is a predicted model, not a curated record. The transcript has 3 exons.
CUGAACCCGUCUCGGUGCUGUUGCAAGAAGAAGGUUUGAUGCUGAGCGGAGUCGCUGGCAUAUUGGAUCUCAUUAAAAGACAGCUUCUGGACCUCUCCCAACUCAGACUCUCUGCUGAGGCAGACUCACACGACAGACUGCCUGCUCCGCAGACCCCUGACGUCAGCAUGUCCGAAGAGGUUCAUUACCACCUCCACCACCCACUCCUGGGUCCUGGAUUCUGCAGGAAAGAACCAGCACACCCACCCUCGCACCCCGACUAGGCCUGCUGGAGAGACCACCUCCGAGUCAUAACCUUUGACGGGGAAAUUACCCUCACCCUUCCCCGUGCCUGGCACUUGACGGUGUCACUGCUCACAUCAGCCCUGAGUUUGGUACCACCGUCAGCAUCGAGACGGGGAAAUCGAUGGUCCCAGGUAACGCAUUACUAACCCAUGGUCAAAGCCAGUAAGUGGCGAGGAUGGGUCUCAAACGGAGGUCUUUCUGACUCUACCGCCAGGCUCUCCCAGCGGUCAGGUAAACUACCUGAAGCCUCUUACUGGCUGGGUUUGCUUCAGGAAAGUAACUUAACCUCUCUGGACACCCCCAAGGUCAGAAGCUUCGCUUCUGCUGAAGAAAUUGGUGUGCAAACGAAACAAAAAUCCACGGGCGUCAGCGCAGUCCUUCCCUGGAGCGCGGGGCUUUCUAAUGAGAGGGUGCGUCUCCAGCCCGAGACCUGCGAAACCGAGCGCCCGGCAGCCUAGCAGAAGCGAAACCUCAACACCCUCCAGCCUCCCCCGCUCUGUUCUGGGAACCCGCCGGCCAGACUUCGUGGAAACGCGCAUCGCCGCAGCCGCCUCGAGCCCCGGGGCCUCCCCGACUACAGCUCGCAGGACCCGGCCGGGAGGUUCAGGGGGCGGCGCGGUCGGGCCCGAGAAGCAGCGCGAGGCGCGCUUCCGCCCCACUCGCUUCGGCAGCGGCCGCGGCGGCCCCACAAUCCCCUUCUGGCUCCGGGGACGGGCGGGGCGGGGCGGGGCGGGGCGGGGCGGGCCGAGCGGGCGGAAAUAAUUUUCUGUUUGGUCCUCUCUGCCCCAGUCCCUUAGCCGCGGGUCGCGCGGGACAUCGAGAUCUCCGAGGCGGGAAGAGGGAGCGGGAACGCGAAGUCCUGGCACGCUUAGAGGGGCGGAGAGGGGGCGAGGACGGGUGGAGCCCUACUUACUGUACGCUUUAGCGCUUUACAAAAGGGUUUUCGUUAAAUCUCCCCUACAGCUCUUUCAGGAAGCCUCGGAUGCCCACAUUUCAGAGGGACAAGCUGAACCUCUGAAAAGUGAAGUCACUCGCUGGCCCAAAACUGCACACCUAGGAUCAGCGUGACGCCCCAAAUAAGCGCUCAGUUACACCAAGCACGAUGAAUCGGAACCACUUGUUGGCUAAGUCCUGCUCUUCUCUGUGUGUGUGUAUGUGGACAGGCACAUAGUAAGUGCUCAGAAAAGUGCUGGAAGCCAGAGAAUGAGUUGGACAGUUCGGCCUUGGGAGUGCUGGCCGCGAAUCCCGCUCAGCGCGCGUAUCACCGGGUUCCCCCAGGACGGACGUCUGAUUUCGACACCGACAUUCGGCGAACGAGUGGUAGCGGAGCCCCAGCCCCAGCGGAGGACAGACUGGAUUCAAAUCCCGACUCUGCCUGUUUCAGGCUGUGUGACUUUGGGCAAAUCACUUCAUCCGCUGGAACCCUGGUUGCUCCAUCUAUAAAAUGGGGAUAUGAACACCCACCUCAAAGGGUUGUGGAGAGCACUAAACGAAAAGGUGUUCCUAAUACUUACUACACGCACAAGUAUCGUCGAGCGUUCAUUCCACAAGUUUCAGGCGGUGCGUCCGCACCGGGUGAAGACCCCAGACAAAGGCUCCUGUGUCCCGGUCCCGAGGGCGCCCUCCCCUAAACUCAGGGACCGACAGGCUUUCCAGUGACCCUCAUCCCGCGAAACCCCGAAACUGCGGCCACCUCUGCCGCCGUCGGUCCCGAAAGCAAAUACUCAAAUAUUCCGAAACUGGCGAAUGGCUAGGGCUGACAUUUUUGCGUUUAAUUUUCUUUUAAGUUUUAUUCCUGUCAGUAAAGGUAGUUUCUUGAGACUUCC